RNAcentral lists this transfer RNA (69 nucleotides) under Ictidomys tridecemlineatus (thirteen-lined ground squirrel). Its description in RNAcentral is "Spermophilus tridecemlineatus (thirteen-lined ground squirrel) tRNA". It matches the Rfam family "tRNA". From Rfam's summary of the family: Transfer RNA (tRNA) molecules are approximately 80 nucleotides in length. Their secondary structure includes four short double-helical elements and three loops (D, anti-codon, and T loops). The record is from Rfam by way of RNAcentral. Lineage: Eukaryota; Metazoa; Chordata; Mammalia; Rodentia; Sciuridae.
GGGGUUGUGGCUCAGCAGUAGAGUGCUCACCUCGCAUGCGUGAGGCCCUGGGUUCGAUUCUCAGCACCA